AGUGAACGCUGGCGGUAGGCCUAACACAUGCAAGUCGAACGGCAGCACAGUAAGAGCUUGCUCUUACGGGUGGCGAGUGGCGGACGGGUGAGGAAUACAUCGGAAUCUACUUUUUCGUGGGGGAUAACGUAGGGAAACUUACGCUAAUACCGCAUACGACCUACGGGUGAAAGCAGGGGAUCUUCGGACCUUGCGCGAUUGAAUGAGCCGAUGUCGGAUUAGCUAGUUGGCGGGGUAAAGGCCCACCAAGGCGACGAUCCGUAGCUGGUCUGAGAGGAUGAUCAGCCACACUGGAACUGAGACACGGUACAGACUCCGACGGGAGGCAGCAGUGGGGAAUAUUGGACAAUGGGCGCAAGCCUGAUCCAGCCAUACCGCGUGGGUGAAGAAGGCCUUCGGGUUGUAAAGCCCUUUUGUUGGGAAAGAAAAGCAGCAGGUUAAUACCCCGCUGUUCUGACGGUACCCAAAGAAUAAGCACCGGCUAACUUCGUG
RNAcentral lists this ribosomal RNA (492 nucleotides) under uncultured bacterium. RNAcentral's name for it is "partial 16S ribosomal RNA". It matches the Rfam family "Bacterial small subunit ribosomal RNA", at positions 29 to 507 of the family's 1533-position model. The record is from RNAcentral.